UACGUAGGGGCUAGCGUUAUCCGGAAUUACUGGGCGUAAAGGGAGCGUAGGCGGACUUUUAAGUGAGAUGUGAAAUACCCGGGCUCAACUUGGGUGCUGCAUUUCAAACUGGAAGUCUAGAGUGCAGGAGAGGAGAAUGGAAUUCCUAGUGUAGCGGUGAAAUGCGUAGAGAUUAGGAAGAACACCAGUGGCGAAGGCGAUUCUCUGGACUGUAACCGACGCUGAGGCUCGAAAGCGUGGGGAGCAAACAGGAUUAGAUACCCCGGUAGUCCCU
Molecule: ribosomal RNA, 274 nt
Filed under: uncultured prokaryote
Description: partial 16S ribosomal RNA
Rfam family: Bacterial small subunit ribosomal RNA
Source: RNAcentral